AUUAAAACAACGGUUCCUAUAUGAUCACUGAAGUUGAGCAACGUUGAGCCUGGUCAGUACCUAGAUGGGUAACUGCUUGGGGAUACCAGGUGCUGUAAG
Non-coding RNA from Acanthosepion pharaonis, 99 nucleotides. Lineage: Eukaryota; Metazoa; Mollusca; Cephalopoda; Sepiida; Sepiidae. The record is from the annotation of a GenBank genome assembly.